Long non-coding RNA from Oncorhynchus nerka (sockeye salmon), 858 nucleotides. RefSeq lists it as uncharacterized. Lineage: Eukaryota; Metazoa; Chordata; Actinopteri; Salmoniformes; Salmonidae. The record is from RefSeq and is a predicted model, not a curated record. The transcript is spliced from 2 exons.
GAGAAAAGACAGGACAGUCACACUACGCGUAAUUGAGGUUGAGAAAAAAAACAAUAACAAAAUGACUAAAAUUGUGAUGGCUUAUAUUGGAUUCCUUCUCCUUGCCAUUCAGUUUUCAUCACACGUCCACGCGCAAAACACUACCACACAGUCCACUGCCAUGACUGUUCCGAUCAAAGCUGGCGACGUGAGUUCUAACAUGACCAAGAUGCCCGAUGUCACUACCAAGAACAUCACCAUUCCCAAAGGAGCCAGUGCGUCCUUGCAGUCCAGCCCCGUCACGCUCCUCAUCCACAUUGCGGUGGUGGGUUCGCUCAUACAGGGCCGUUUCUAGAGUACUCAUGUGCAUUGAACACACAGCCAGGAUUAACAUCGGCGGCCUAGCUGGGCAAACUGUUUCACAAACCAAUCUUUAAAAAUUAUUUGAGGACCGUCAUGUACGCAAAUUGGGAAGUACCGGACGAGAACACCGUUCUACUUCACGCAUGGGAAUUCAUAUUUGCGCUCAAACCAGUAGGCCUACCCAUUCCGUGGACACUGGCCCCAAGCACAUAUGUCCUAACGUGUCGUCCACUCUGUGGAGGCAGGCUAUGAGGAUGUACGAAACUCCUUACUUUUCUGGUUCCUGUGUACAGACGACAGGGGUCGUUAGUGAUUGUUGAUGCUAACACAUCCAUUUAUCUGACCUGUUGCAUGUGUCCAUACAGUGGUAUUUCUAUUCCUGCAAAGGAUACUUUGUCAGAGGGUUGAUGUACACUUGUGAUUUUAGUGUAGUAUAACGUUUAUUGUAAAAACAUCAUGAUAUAACUGUUGCAGCCUAAUAUGCUCAUAGAUUGUUCAAUAAAGUUUUGACAUGUA